UACAGAGGUCCCAAGCGUUGUUCGGAUUCACUGGGCGUAAAGGGUGCGUAGGCGGCGGGGUAAGUCAGGUGUGAAAUCUCGAGGCUCAACCUCGAAACUGCACUUGAUACUGCCUUGCUCGAGUACUGGAGAGGAGAUUGGAAUUUACGGUGUAGCAGUGAAAUGCGUAGAUAUCGUAAGGAAGACCAGUGGCGAAGGCGAAUCUCUGGACAGUUACUGACACUGAGGCACGAAGGCCAGGGGAGCAAACAGG
Molecule: ribosomal RNA, 253 nt
Filed under: uncultured bacterium
Lineage: Bacteria
Description: partial 16S ribosomal RNA
Rfam family: Bacterial small subunit ribosomal RNA
Source: RNAcentral